This 253-nucleotide ribosomal RNA is filed under the name uncultured bacterium. Its description in RNAcentral is "partial 16S ribosomal RNA". It matches the Rfam family "Bacterial small subunit ribosomal RNA", at positions 524 to 776 of the family's 1533-position model. The record is from RNAcentral.
GACAGAGGCCCCGAGCGUUAAUCGGAAUCACUGGGCUUAAAGGGUGCGUAGGCUGAUCCGAAAGUGCUUUGUGAAAUCCCCGGGCUCAACCCGGGAACAGCGGGGCAUACUGCGGAUCUCGAGGAAGGUAGGGGCCGCCAGAACAGUAGGUGGAGCGGUGAAAUGCGUAGAUAUCUACUGGAAUGCCGAUGGUGAAGACGGGCGGCUGGGCCUUUCCUGACGCUGAGGCACGAAAGCGUGGGGAGCAAACAGG